AGUCGAGCGAGCGGAACUAACAGAUUUACUUCGGUAAUGACGUUAGGAAAGCGAGCGGCGGAUGGGUGAGUAACACGUGGGGAACCUGCCCCAUAGUCUGGGAUACCACUUGGAAACAGGUGCUAAUACCGGAUAAGAAAGCAGAUCGCAUGAUCAGCUUUUAAAAGGCGGCGUAAGCUGUCGCUAUGGGAUGGCCCCGCGGUGCAUUAGCUAGUUAGUAAGGUAAAGGCUUACCAAGGCGAUGAUGCAUAGCCGAGUUGAGAGACUGAUCGGCCACAUUGGGACUGAGACACGGCCCAAACUCCUACGGGAGGCAGCAGUAGGGAAUCUUCCACAAUGGACGCAAGUCUGAUGGAGCAACGCCGCGUGAGUGAAGAAGGUUUUCGGAUCGUAAAGCUCUGUUGUUGGUGAAGAAGGAUAGAGGUAGUAACUGGCCUUUAUUUGACGGUAAUCAACCAGAAAGUCACGGCUAACUACGUGCCAGCAGCCGCGGUAAUACGUAGGUGGCAAGCGUUGUCCGGAUUUAUUGGGCGUAAAGCGAGCGCAGGCGGAAGAAUAAGUCUGAUGUGAAAGCCCUCGGCUUAACCGAGGAACUGCAUCGGAAACUGUUUUUCUUGAGUGCAGAAGAGGAGAGUGGAACUCCAUGUGUAGCGGUGGAAUGCGUAGAUAUAUGGAAGAACACCAGUGGCGAAGGCGGCUCUCUGGUCUGCAACUGACGCUGAGGCUCGAAAGCAUGGGUAGUGAACAGGAUUAGAUACCCUGGUAGUCCAUGCCGUANACGAUGAGUGCUAAGUGUUGGGAGGUUUCCGCCUCUCAGUGCUGC
RNAcentral lists this ribosomal RNA (823 nucleotides) under uncultured bacterium. RNAcentral's name for it is "bacterial SSU rRNA". It matches the Rfam family "Bacterial small subunit ribosomal RNA", at positions 60 to 849 of the family's 1533-position model. The record is from RNAcentral.